Molecule: ribosomal RNA, 1377 nt
Filed under: Lactiplantibacillus plantarum
Lineage: Bacteria; Bacillati; Bacillota; Bacilli; Lactobacillales; Lactobacillaceae
Description: Lactobacillus plantarum 16S ribosomal RNA
Rfam family: Bacterial small subunit ribosomal RNA
Source: RNAcentral
GAGUGGCGAACUGGUGAGUAACACGUGGGAAACCUGCCCAGAAGCGGGGGAUAACACCUGGAAACAGAUGCUAAUACCGCAUAACAACUUGGACCGCAUGGUCCGAGCUUGAAAGAUGGCUUCGGCUAUCACUUUUGGAUGGUCCCGCGGCGUAUUAGCUAGAUGGUGGGGUAACGGCUCACCAUGGCAAUGAUACGUAGCCGACCUGAGAGGGUAAUCGGCCACAUUGGGACUGAGACACGGCCCAAACUCCUACGGGAGGCAGCAGUAGGGAAUCUUCCACAAUGGACGAAAGUCUGAUGGAGCAACGCCGCGUGAGUGAAGAAGGGUUUCGGCUCGUAAAACUCUGUUGUUAAAGAAGAACAUAUCUGAGAGUAACUGUUCAGGUAUUGACGGUAUUUAACCAGAAAGCCACGGCUAACUACGUGCCAGCAGCCGCGGUAAUACGUAGGUGGCAAGCGUUGUCCGGAUUUAUUGGGCGUAAAGCGAGCGCAGGCGGUUUUUUAAGUCUGAUGUGAAAGCCUUCGGCUCAACCGAAGAAGUGCAUCGGAAACUGGGAAACUUGAGUGCAGAAGAGGACAGUGGAACUCCAUGUGUAGCGGUGAAAUGCGUAGAUAUAUGGAAGAACACCAGUGGCGAACGCGGCUGUCUGGUCUGUAACUGACGCUGAGGCUCGAAAGUAUGGGUAGCAAACAGGAUUAGAUACCCUGGUAGUCCAUACCGUAAACGAUGAAUGCUAAGUGUUGGAGGGUUUCCGCCCUUCAGUGCUGCAGCUAACGCAUUAAGCAUUCCGCCUGGGGAGUACGGCCGCAAGGCUGAAACUCAAAGGAAUUGACGGGGGCCCGCACAAGCGGUGGAGCAUGUGGUUUAAUUCGAAGCUACGCGAAGAACCUUACCAGGUCUUGACAUACUAUGCAAAUCUAAGAGAUUAGACGUUCCCUUCGGGGACAUGGAUACAGGUGGUGCAUGGUUGUCGUCAGCUCGUGUCGUGAGAUGUUGGGUUAAGUCCCGCAACGAGCGCAACCCUUAUUAUCAGUUGCCAGCAUUAAGUUGGGCACUCUGGUGAGACUGCCGGUGACAAACCGGAGGAAGGUGGGGAUGACGUCAAAUCAUCAUGCCCCUUAUGACCUGGGCUACACACGUGCUACAAUGGAUGGUACAACGAGUUGCGAACUCGCGAGAGUAAGCUAAUCUCUUAAAGCCAUUCUCAGUUCGGAUUGUAGGCUGCAACUCGCCUACAUGAAGUCGGAAUCGCUAGUAAUCGCGGAUCAGCAUGCCGCGGUGAAUACGUUCCCGGGCCUUGUACACACCGCCCGUCACACCAUGAGAGUUUGUAACACCCAAAGUCGGUGGGGUAACCUUUUAGGAACCAGCCGC